This 476-nucleotide ribosomal RNA is filed under the name Centricnemus leucogrammus. RNAcentral's name for it is "partial 16S ribosomal RNA". Lineage: Eukaryota; Metazoa; Arthropoda; Insecta; Coleoptera; Curculionidae. The record is from RNAcentral.
CUUUUUGAGAAUAAUUUAAGGUCUAACCUGCCCAAUGAAGAUUUAAAUGGCCGCGGUAAUUUGACCGUGCAAAGGUAGCAUAAUCAUUAGUUUUUUAAUUGAAAGCUGGAAUGAAAGGUUGGAUGAGAAAAUAACUGUCUCUAUUUAAAUUAUUAAGAAUUUUAUUUUUAAGUUAAAAAGCUUAAAUUAAAUUAAAAGACGAGAAGACCCUAUAGAGUUUUAUUUAUUUUUAUAAAAAAAUUUUUAGUAUUAAUAAAUUUUAUUAUAAAAAUGAAUUUAGUUGGGGUGAUUGAAAAAUUUGAUUAACUUUUUUUUAAAAAAAACAUUAAUUUAUGAUUAAAUGAUCCUUUUAUUUAAGAUUAAAAGAUUAAAUUACCUUAGGGAUAACAGCGUAAUUUUCUUAAAGAGUUCAAAUCGAAAAGAAAGAUUGCSACCUCGAUGUUGGAUUAAAAUAAAAUUUUGGUGUAGAAGCUAAA